AUUGAACGCUGGCGGCAGGCCUAACACAUGCAAGUCGAGCGGAGCGGCGGACGGGUGAGUAAUGCCUAGGAAUCUGCCUGGUAGUGGGGGAUAACGUCCGGUAACGGGCGCUAAUACCGCAUACUAUCAGAUGAGCCUCGGUCGGAUUUGCUAGGUGGUGGGGUAAAGGCUUACCAAGUCGACGAUCCGUAGCUGGUCUGAGAGGAUGAUCAGUCACACUGGAACUGAGACACGGUCCAGACUCCUACGGGAGGCAGCAGUGGGGAAUAUUGGACAAUGGGCGAAAGCCUGAUCCAGCCAUGCCGCGUGUGUGAAGAAGGUCUUCGGAUUGUAAAGCACUUUAAGUUGGGAAGCGUUACCUACAGAAGAAGCACCGGCUAACUUCGUGCCAGCCGCCGCGGUAAUAC
Molecule: ribosomal RNA, 407 nt
Filed under: uncultured bacterium
Lineage: Bacteria
Description: partial 16S ribosomal RNA
Rfam family: Bacterial small subunit ribosomal RNA
Source: RNAcentral